Molecule: unclassified non-coding RNA, 433 nt
Filed under: fungal sp.
Lineage: Eukaryota; Fungi
Description: partial internal transcribed spacer region
Rfam family: Eukaryotic small subunit ribosomal RNA (bases 1-46)
Source: RNAcentral
AAGUCGUAACAAGGUUUCCGUAGGUGAACCUGCGGAAGGAUCAUUAACACGUGUUCCACGUCAAACAUCCACCCCAUGUGCAUCGUUGUGUCUCUCCCUGUACUGUCACGCCGCAUGACUCGACCAAACUGAUGGGCUAGAGUGGGGUCAUUCACCCCCCAUCAGUGGGACCUGUGCUUUUCCCCCUCAUAGGGGUUGAGCCACGAGUGGAGCGGUAGACUGACAGGCUUCUGUCUGACUGCACCCUGUGCUCCCAGCUCUGCACACGCAGUCGGACACUAUCCCCAUAAUUAUUUUUACCCCUUUCACCCCUUUUUGCUAGUUGAUAUGUUUUCUGUUCUUCUUGUGAGUUUGUUACGAAUUCUACAGGAGUGCACGUUUACUUAGUUGAACGUCGAGUGUACAACUCUUAGCAAUGGAUAUCUCGGUUCUC